Molecule: long non-coding RNA, 835 nt
Filed under: Malus domestica (apple)
Lineage: Eukaryota; Viridiplantae; Streptophyta; Magnoliopsida; Rosales; Rosaceae
Description: long non-coding RNA (MDOM_LNC011055)
Source: RNAcentral
UUUUCAUCAUAUUCGAUGUUUAACUCAUGAUCGACUUCUGAUAACAAAAGUCUGAUACUUGAGCUUCCUCGUUAAGCAAUAAAAAGGAUUUAGUAAAAGAGAUAAGCAAUAAAGUAUUUUUAUUACCUUUAAAGUUCAAAGUUUCCUUUUAAAGUUUGACAUAUUUUUAAGUUUUAACUACGCCUUUUGAAAUUGCAUUUGAUUAUAUUUUGACCCUUAUAACUUUAUUUAAGUUAUCAUUUUACUUUUUGAAAUUCAAAAUUUAUUCCACUUUAAUUUAUAGAUUUUCUUUUCUCUUUUCUACUUAAAACUUAUAGGUUGCCUCCUAAAAGAUACAUGACACCCAACAUUUAAUAAGACUAUGCCACAUGUGCAAUAAAUAAUCUAAAUAUCCAUUUUGCGUUAAUAUUCAAUAAUCAGAUAAUAUUAAACUUAAAAGAAAUUGAAGAGAUGAAAAAAAUAAAUAAAUAAAGAAACUGAUUAGCAGGCACACCCAAAUCAAAUCCACAUAAGAAACUAGCAUAUCUAAGGUAAUGUGAAGCAAAUUUUGAGAUUUAUAUAGGCGGCUUUCAAGAAAUAAAUCAGAGGCAAAAAAGAUCAAAUCAAGUUCCAGGGGUAAAGUGGAGCGAACUAUGAGUUUCAGGGAAUAAAUUAACGACUUUUGAAUUACAUGGAGCAAAGUAAGAUUAAAAUCGAGUUCCAGGAGAACGUAAGCGUUAAAGUUUUUAACUUUUUUAUUUCUCUAUGCCCAUUAGUUUGUUGGCAUUUCUCACUUUUGUCCCCACAAUUGAAAAUUCAUAAACAUGAUCUUUGAGUUUGUUUACUUAAAUUAUUU